Long non-coding RNA from Etheostoma spectabile (orangethroat darter), 200 nucleotides. RefSeq lists it as uncharacterized. The record is from RefSeq and is a predicted model, not a curated record. The transcript is spliced from 3 exons. NCBI's taxonomy places the organism in Eukaryota, Metazoa, Chordata, Actinopteri, Perciformes, Percidae.
GUUUUUAGUAGGGGGUGACACAGGAAUCAAUUGUCGCUCCCAUCUCAUCCCAGCCCACGAAAAUACUCCCGUCAUAUCCCGAUCAUGUGACUGGCCCCACCAAAAAAAAUCCUGACCUGCAAUAUCCCGAGAGAAAGACUCCCGAGUCCCAUCCCGCUCCCCUUUCGUUCCCUGUGUUGUCUUAAGUUGCUCUGUUGCAG